UGCCAGAAGCAGGCUUGAAAAUUGAUUUCCCUGCGUGUGGUGCUUGCAGCGUGUACGGCAGCCAUGCUCAGCCACGUGACAAAACACCUUUCUUGAGUUCCUUUGCCUGGCUCUCCAUGCAUCUCUUUUUUCUAAUUUUACACUUGGGUCUUCUACAUCCUUGGAGAAGAGGAAAUCACCAAAACUCCUGCCAAUGUGCAAGAGGAAAAAGCAUGUUCAGGUGGAGAAAAUACCAUAGUUCCUAAUGUCAGAGUGCUGCAUGGGUAAAUGAAAAGAAUGCACGUUCCUGAUUCCACUCCCAAAACCAAACCCCUCAGGGAAAUCCUUGAACUUCUCUCCACCUAAGACCCCAGCUGAGUUUCCUUCUUACCUUCUCCCCAUAUUCACACAUCCCCAUGGUGGGAUCUGAGUGUGGAAAGAGCAGAGUUGCACAGACUGAUUUGUAAGAGAAUAAGACUGAAAAUUCAUGUGGAGGAAAGCAACAAAGCCAGCAGCAAAAACGCCAAGAAAGCUUUGAACUGCUUGUGUCAACUUCUUCCCUCCUGAAUUCUCCUGAGGACCUCUGCAGUCUGAAAGGUCUGAUGCAUUGGGAACAUGACACCUUUUAAGAGGCACAGGAAUCCAGUGUGAAGACUGUUUUUGGUACAAUUGAAGGUGACAGAGUUUGGGGGUGGAGAGGGGAGUGGGGUUAUGUGUGUGUAAAUCAGGAGUUGAUACUGGAGAUUGGUAUAUCCCCUUUUUCUAACAGUAGAGGAAUUUUUCUUAUGGUUUGUUUUACUAAAAUAAUUUGGUCUUCUCAAGAGUAUCUGACAGAGGAAUCUGGAAAAAAAGUGGUGCUAAAACCAACCUGCAUUUACUCCACAGCUGAACUUUUUAAGUGCUGUUUUCCCACUGCUUUAAUGGAUCUUACUUCCCUGUAAGCAGAAUGGGUUUUCAGGGUGUGGAGCACUGUUGCAGUGUAUAAUAAGGGAACUGAGUGGUGUGAACCCUUUGGGACUUAUUUCUUUAAUACCUGGAGCAACUCUAUUGCCAGUAGGUCUUGCAAGUACACAGGGCACUGUAGUGACUGCUGCACCUGCAGUUACGAGUUGGUAACCCCAAAGGCAUCUCCUUCCUUAUCCUUGUGAGGCAGAAUGUUGUUGAACAAAUUAGGACCAAGUUUGUUAAAUAUCAACCACACAUCACUUGGGAUGUGGCUGUUUAAAUACUGUCUGGUUUACCCUUUAUUUUCUGCUAUGCUAUUUUAUAAUGUAGAAAAAUAUUUAAUAUAAAUUGUAAUUUCUAUUCCAAUCACCUUGUGUUAUCUUAUAAAGCCAUAAUUUAAAAGGCAGUUUCUGCGAGAGCCAUUUGUGCCAAGAUCCUGUGUCCUGCUCCUACUUCACCAAGAGAAAAAUUAUUGGUCUUGUCCCUUCAGAUUCAAGAACCUUUUUCAGAGAAUGUGGACUCUGCUGGAUUUUGGUAUCUUCAUCUUCUCAUUUAUCCUGAUUUUGUAGCAGCUGAAAAACUGUCCCAGUCAUAAUUUCAUAAGCCAUGUGUUCAAGGCUAUAAAGGAAAACAGGAACAGUUUGCAUGGAUUUUCAUUCCAGGUUUGUAUAAGGGUAAAUGGGCACUGGCAUUUUCAUUCAUUUGCAGUUCUAAAGUUCAGACCAAGAUCAGCAAACCCGAGGCUUACCAAUAACUGAGGUGCUAAUGGAACAAGAGAGAAGGAGAAAGUAGGGGUAAGAAUUAAACUGAGUUUCACUUUAAAUCAUGUGCAAUUGCAAAACCAGAAUCCAAGCUGUUGUCUAAGAAACUGCCAGUGCUCCUGGAGUCAUGUGGAGGGUCUGUAUGUAAAGGAUUGUUUCCUUUCAAUGGGAUUUACAGUUUGUAGACAAGAGCUAUGUUGUGUAUUGUAUGGCCAGAGCUAUGUCCAUUUCAAUUAUUACAGUUAAAAUCUGCUGGAAACACAGAUCUUGCUGCUCAUGUGAUCACUGAGCCACGGCCAGCUGCAGGGCUGCAGGCAGCACUGAACAGGAAGGACAAGUGGAGUCCCUUGCUCCCGGGGCAGUAAUGCAGUGAAAAUCCGAGCUGCUGCUGUACUGUUGGAAGCGUGGCUGAGCCAGGGUUCAGCACUGCUGCCGGCUGGGGCUGCUGCUGAGCUGUCCCCUCCUUGCUGCAGCCAGGGCAGCGCUGCGGCCCUGGGGACAGACACUGCACAGGCUGGGCCCUCCCCGAGCCACGGGGGCGUCCUCUGGAUCUGCUGCCCUGUGCCCCUGGCACCCCCACGCUGCUUGCACAGGUAAGCGCGUUCCAGCGAGGAGCAGCAGCACCAGGGGCUUUGCCCUCUGCAGGCAGCUGCCUUUGCCAGCGGUGUGGAACAGCUCCUUCACAGCUGAGCUGCGGCUCCUCACCCUCAGGUAAAUUAGCAAAUGUUUAAGGAUCUGUGCUAGAG
This is a long non-coding RNA of Motacilla alba alba, 2431 nucleotides long. RefSeq lists it as uncharacterized. The record is from RefSeq and is a predicted model, not a curated record. The transcript has 3 exons. NCBI's taxonomy places the organism in Eukaryota, Metazoa, Chordata, Aves, Passeriformes, Motacillidae.